RNAcentral lists this ribosomal RNA (500 nucleotides) under uncultured bacterium. RNAcentral's name for it is "partial 16S ribosomal RNA". It matches the Rfam family "Bacterial small subunit ribosomal RNA", at positions 30 to 523 of the family's 1533-position model. The record is from RNAcentral.
AUUGAACGCUGGCGGAAUGCUUUACACAUGCAAGUCGAACGGCAGCACGGACUUCGGUCUGGUGGCGAGUGGCGAACGGGUGAGUAAUGUAUCGGAACGUGCCCAGUCGUGGGGGAUAACGUAGUGAAAAUUACGCUAAUACCGCAUACGAUCUAUGGAUGAAAGCGGGGGAUCACAAGCCCUCGCGCGAUUGGAGCGGCCGAUAACAGAUUAGGUAGUUAGUGGGGUAAAGGCCCACCAAGCCAACGAUCUGUAGCUGGUCUGAGAGGAAGACCAGCCACACUGGAACUGAGACACGGUCCAGACUCCUACGGGAGGCAGCAGUGGGGAAUUUUGGACAAUGGGCGAAAGCCUGAUCCAGCCAUUCCGCGUGCAGGAUUAAGGCCCUCGGGUUGUAAACUGCUUUUGUACAGAACGAAAAGGUUUCUGCUAAUACUAGGAGCUCAUGACGGUACUGUAAGAAUAAGCACCGGCUAACUACGUGCCAGCCGCCGCCGUAA